RNAcentral lists this ribosomal RNA (253 nucleotides) under uncultured bacterium. RNAcentral's name for it is "partial 16S ribosomal RNA". It matches the Rfam family "Bacterial small subunit ribosomal RNA", at positions 524 to 776 of the family's 1533-position model. The record is from RNAcentral.
GACGUAGGGCGCGAGCGUUGUCCGGAUUUAUUGGGCGUAAAGAGCUCGUAGGCGGCUUGUCACGUCGGAUGUGAAAGCCCGAGGCUUAACCUCGGGUCUGCAUUCGAUACGGGCUAGCUAGAGUGUGGUAGGGGAGAUCGGAAUUCCUGGUGUAGCGGUGAAAUGCGUAGAUAUUGGGAGGAACACCAGUGGCGAAGGCGGCUACCUGGACCGGUUCUGACGCUGAGGCGCGAAAGCGUGGGUAGCAAACAGG